RNAcentral lists this long non-coding RNA (840 nucleotides) under Glycine max (soybean). RNAcentral describes it as "long non-coding RNA (GMAX_LNC003348)". Lineage: Eukaryota; Viridiplantae; Streptophyta; Magnoliopsida; Fabales; Fabaceae. The record is from RNAcentral.
AAGUAUUUGUUUAUAAUUUAAUCGGAUUAAGAUAAGCCUUAGUAAUAGUAAUGGUGUGAUCUUUGUGCUGUAGAAUCUCUGAGCCUGGGUUUUGUCGUUUAGCUAAUGGCAACUCCGUCAAAAUCAAAAUCAAAAUCAAAAGUGGCUUCUACCACAACUCACCAUUCCAUAACGCUCUCUCUGAUCUUUUCUUUUGAGCGUAGAAAAUCACUUCACUUUCAUGAACCUCUCUAUUUCUUAUUUAUAAUAUGCGAGCAUUUUAACUCUUUUAAUAAAUAGUACAUUUUAAUUGGUAAAUUUGUUCCUGCCAGGAUGUUAAGCUAGCUGACCUUCAAAAGAUGAUAGUAUAACAAAGCUCAAUUCUUUAGCCCAACUACAAAAGAUCAACAUGGUUAAUUCCUUAAUUUAGUUAAGUACAGAGCAGAGUGUUGAAGGGUUGCUCAAUUAACUAAAAUUAAAGAUUUCGCAUGUGGACAGCGAUCAUGCUUAAAUAAAUAAAGUUCAGAUCACAAAAUGCUUCCACUUGAUAAGUACAAAAAUUAUGCAAAUUCAGCUAAAUGAUACUGAACUCAUUGCUCAAGAGUUGUUGUACUCAUUAGCACCACAACAAAAGAUGGCAGCAAUGGAAUGAGCCAAGCCCAAUACAACUGCAACCUUCACUUGUCCCCUCUUUGGAAUUGGACGCCCAGAGAACAUCCUGGGAAAGCUUUUUCCAUCCUUCAUCUCACCCAAAUCUGCUUCUUUUCUUCUACUUCUAGACCUUCCACGUUUGCCUAUUAUAUAGACCGCAUGUUACUAAAGUGCCUCGCUUUGGGGCUAUACUUCAUUCAAAUCCCUUCC